UACGAAGGGGGCUAGCGUUGCUCGGAUUUACUGGGCGUAAAGGGCGCGUAGGCGGACAGUUUAGUCAGAGGUGAAAGCCCGGGGCUCAACCCCGGAAUUGCCUUUGAUACUGGUUGUCUUGAGUUUGGGAGAGGUAUGCGGAACUCCGAGUGUAGAGGUGAAAUUCGUAGAUAUUCGGAAGAACACCAGUGGCGAAGGCGGCAUACUGGCCCAAUACUGACGCUGAGGCGCGAAAGCGUGGGGAGCAAACAGGAUUAGAAACCCUUGUAGU
Molecule: ribosomal RNA, 271 nt
Filed under: uncultured bacterium
Lineage: Bacteria
Description: partial 16S ribosomal RNA
Rfam family: Bacterial small subunit ribosomal RNA
Source: RNAcentral